AUAUCUCUCAAUCUUAAACGUUUUUCGUUUGAAAUUGGACUUGGGCGUUGUCGUUGUUUAGACGACUCGUCCCUAAAUACAUUAGCGAUCUGCCCCUGAUCACACACAAUGUGAUAAGUUUUUAAGCAUUGUUAUGGUCGGGUUCGGUGAUGGCUUCUAACCGUCGUUAAGACAAACUCAUAUCAUGUC
Molecule: unclassified non-coding RNA, 189 nt
Filed under: uncultured Geastrum
Lineage: Eukaryota; Fungi; Basidiomycota; Agaricomycetes; Geastrales; Geastraceae
Description: sequence contains ITS2
Source: RNAcentral